CCUACGGGGGGCUGCAGUAAGGAAUAUUGGUCAAUGGUGGGAACACUGAACCAGCCAUUCCGCGUGAAGGAUGAAUGCCCUCUGGGUUGUAAACUUCUUUAGUCUGGGACGAAAAAGCUUCAUUUAUGAAGAACUGACGGUACCAGAAGAAUAAGCACCGGCUAACUCCGUGCCAGCAGCCGCGGUAAUACGGAGGGUGCAAGCGUUAUCCGGAAUCACUGGGUUUAAAGGGUGCGUAGGUGGCGUUAUAAGUCAGGAGUGAAAUUCCACAGCUUAACUGUAGGAACUGCUUUUGAUACUGUAAUGCUUGAACCAAGAUGAGGUAGGCGGAAUGUGGCAUGUAGCGGUGAAAUGCAUAGAUAUGCCAUAGAACACCAAUUGCGAAGGCAGCUUACUAGACUUGAGUUGACACUGAGGCACGAAAGCGUGGGGAGCAAACAGGAUUAGAUACCCCGGUAGUC
RNAcentral lists this ribosomal RNA (461 nucleotides) under uncultured Sphingobacteriales bacterium. Its description in RNAcentral is "bacterial SSU rRNA". It matches the Rfam family "Bacterial small subunit ribosomal RNA", at positions 338 to 795 of the family's 1533-position model. Lineage: Bacteria; Pseudomonadati; Bacteroidota; Sphingobacteriia; Sphingobacteriales. The record is from RNAcentral.